RNAcentral lists this transfer RNA (61 nucleotides) under Ixodes kuntzi. RNAcentral describes it as "tRNA-Trp". Lineage: Eukaryota; Metazoa; Arthropoda; Arachnida; Ixodida; Ixodidae. The record is from RNAcentral.
AGAUUUUAAGUUAAUAAAACUAUAUACCUUCAAAGUAUAAAAUAAUUUUAAAUUAAAUCUU